AAAGUAUUGAAGGGAACUCAAACCAAAAUUAUGAGCUGAAACAACUGUGUAGUCAUAUUGCAUAACCAGCUGAUGCUCAGACUCAUCAACAAACAAGAAUCAAUUGGUGAAGCUUGCUUCUCAUACUCGGUCCCUCUCGACAAUUAAUGACCGUUUGUCACCAUCUGCUUGUCGUUGUCUUCUUCUCUCUGCUGGUAUACUGACUUUCGGCGAGUGAUUUCAUUCCUGAUAGACUCUUUGAUGGACUCAUAAUGCAGAAUAGCUAUAAUUUUGAGCUUUCUUUCUCCUUUCAGAUCUCCACCACGCUUGAUCACAGGCAAUUGUUUGAUUCCUUUGGCCACCAUUAUCUGCUUAGCAAUUGCUAGGUCGGUAUCAGGAUAACAAGUUAGAAGU
RNAcentral lists this unclassified non-coding RNA (393 nucleotides) under Hevea brasiliensis (rubber tree). The record is from RNAcentral. Lineage: Eukaryota; Viridiplantae; Streptophyta; Magnoliopsida; Malpighiales; Euphorbiaceae.